This is a long non-coding RNA of Anguilla rostrata (American eel), 823 nucleotides long. RefSeq lists it as uncharacterized. Lineage: Eukaryota; Metazoa; Chordata; Actinopteri; Anguilliformes; Anguillidae. The transcript is spliced from 5 exons. The record is from RefSeq and is a predicted model, not a curated record.
ACAAGCGCACAAGUCUGUGUAUGUAUGUGUGUGUGCAUGCAUGUGUGAGAGAGUGAGUUUUCAUACAAUGUCAUGAUGUAUUGUGCUGACGUCAGGUCGGGGUGGGAUGAUCUUUUUAUUGGCUUGAGCCCUUGCCUCUCAAAAUGUCUGUGCAUGCCCCUGCCAAGGAGAGAAUGUAAGGUUGUACACCCAAAGCGGUAAUAAGUUCCAACCAGUUUGAUUAAACACACCUGUGCAGAUGGGAAGUUUUUUUUGAAUGUGCACAGCUGUUUCAAGAAGGCAAAUUGGAAGGGCAUGGAAUCCCUUGCAGGACGCUGUUGCAACUUUCACCCCUUUUUGGAUUGUUGGAGAAUCGGCUUUGUUUAUUUUUUGUGGAACAACCUAUUCAAACGAAACAAAGUGAAACACCCCUGUAGGCCAGGACGGCACUCACUGGAGAGCAUAGACUGAGCUGGCCCUACAGUUACCGGAGGUAUUCUCCACUUUGGUUGUUCAGCCAGCUUCAUUCUUCUGGGCCAGAAGGCGCCUGGGGGGUUCAUGGCAUGGUAUGAGGAAAGACCUUCCUCAUCCAUGCACUGUCUGCACAUGGCGUCAAGCAAGCUCUCCACAUACAUUCUCAUCCCUUACCUCCCGCCUCCACGUGAGUCAGUAGAGGGAAGCCCACUCUGCUUCACCUUUAGUACAAGCAGUGGAUGAACUCCUGUUGGUUACGUUUCCACUACUGGAUGCAACAGAAACUUGUGCCCAGUGGCACCCUCCAGUGGCUCUGCAUUUUUAUGCACUUUUGCACUGUCGUCCAAAAUAUUUCCACUUAAUUAAAUAA